RNAcentral lists this long non-coding RNA (942 nucleotides) under Diabrotica virgifera virgifera (western corn rootworm). RNAcentral describes it as "uncharacterized LOC126892720". The record is from RNAcentral. Lineage: Eukaryota; Metazoa; Arthropoda; Insecta; Coleoptera; Chrysomelidae.
CAAUAUUUAGUUAAAAUAUUCAUUUAUUAUAAGAUUGGUUUAUUUUGGAAGGAGCUAUUUUUUGUUUUGGAUUUGUGCGGUGAGAGGAAGAGUUUUAUUUCCAAGUUUCCUUUUGGAAAACAGUGGCCACGGAAGAAAAUAAGAAGAUGGAAAAUUAAGUCAAUCAUACUUUAAUUUGUUUUUUUGGAAUACAUAAUCAUUUUGGGGAUAUUUUGGAUGGAAUGUGGAUGUUUUGUUUGGUUUUUGUGGAAUAAAAGUUGAGUUUUCCGAUACUGGGCAGCUACCUGCUUGCCGUACCUUCCUGUUGGUGUGGAGUACCUCCCUAGGGUUGGGAACCAGAGGAUACCUUAUUUGGCUCUCCCCUCAUCAUCUUCACCGAAGGUUGGAAGAAGCAAUCCGCCUACUUUUUGUAGGGACAGGUUUUUAUAUAACUAAAUUUGCAUGUCAAUUUGUUUUAAUAAUAACUUCCAAUUUUACUAUUUUUUUUUCUCUUCGUAUCAAUAACUUUCAAAUCACUCUAAUAAUAAUAUACCCUCAUUGUUUUUUCUUAACCAUAAUUAACGUAAUAUUCAAUAUUUUUCAACAAUUUUUAUUAUAUUUCACCCUUAUUUAAUUUAUUUAAAAUAGCCUGGGAUUUAUAAACCAUAUGUAAGAUAAUGUGCACAGUAUCUAGGUCAUAUCCUAUUUAAUAAUAGUUAUUCCAGUUGUCGGAUGUUGUCACCUCCGAUUAGAUACGGUAUUGUCAACCAAUAUUGUAACCCUCAUUAAUAAUAAGUUGUUAAGGUAAAUACCUAUUCAUACUAAAUUCAUUACAUAUUUUUUUUCUACUGUAAAACCUGCAUUAUCGACAGCAGUGUACUAGCCUAGUACGUCGGAUAAUUAGCUAGUGUAAAAAUUGUAUAUAGGGUAUAUAGGUUUUUUUAUUAAAUGUGGUUGUACAUA